This 492-nucleotide ribosomal RNA is filed under the name uncultured bacterium. Its description in RNAcentral is "partial 16S ribosomal RNA". It matches the Rfam family "Bacterial small subunit ribosomal RNA", at positions 29 to 507 of the family's 1533-position model. The record is from RNAcentral.
AGUGAACGCUGGCGGUAGGCCUAAUACAUGCAAGUCGAACGGCAGCACAGUAAGGGCUUGCUCUUACGGGUGGCGAGUGGCGGACGGGUGAGGAAUACAUCGGAAUCUACUUUUUCGUGGGGGAUAACGUAGGGAAACUUACGCUAAUACCGCAUACGACCUACGGGUGAAAGCAGGGGAUCUUCGGACCUUGCGCGAUUGAAUGAGCCGAUGUCGGAUUAGCUAGUUGGCGGGGUAAAGGCCCACCAAGGCGACGAUCCGUAGCUGGUCUGAGAGGAUGAUCAGCCACACUGGAACUGAGACACGGUCCAGACUCCUACGGGAGGCAGCAGUGGGGAAUAUUGGACAAUGGGCGCAAGCCUGAUCCAGCCAUACCGCGUGGGUGAAGAAGGCCUUCGGGUUGUAAAGCCCUUUUGUUGGGAAAGAAAAGCAGCAGGUUAAUACCCCGCUGUUCUGACGGUACCCAAAGAAUAAGCACCGGCUAACUUCGUG